Molecule: microRNA precursor, 75 nt
Filed under: Myotis lucifugus (little brown bat)
Lineage: Eukaryota; Metazoa; Chordata; Mammalia; Chiroptera; Vespertilionidae
Description: mir-9193 microRNA precursor family
Rfam family: mir-9193 microRNA precursor family
Source: Rfam by way of RNAcentral
UGCGCAGCAGGGGGGAUCCCUCAGCCCAGGUUGAGGUAGGGCACAGGCCAGGCUGAGGGACCCCACCGGUGCAGA